UUUUGGUCCAUGGGGGGAACCCUGAAGCCGCAACGCCGCGUGGAGGAAGAAGGUUUUAGGGUUGUAAAAUCCUUUUUUUAGAGAAGAUAAAGACGGUAUCCAAGGAAUAAACACCGGCUAACUUCGUGCCCGCCACCCCGGUAAUUCGGAGGGGGCCAGCGUUUCUUGGAAUCCCUGGGGGUAAAGAGCGCGUAGGCGGGAUAGUCAGUCAGGUGUGAAAUCCUAUGGCUUAACCAUAGAACUGCAUUUGAAACUACUAUUCUAGAGUGUGGGAGAGGUAGGGGGAAUUUUUGGUGUAGGGGUAAAAUCUGUAGAGAUCAAGAGGAAUCCUCAUUGGGAAGGGGGCCUGCUGAACAUUACUGACCCUGAUGCGCG
Molecule: ribosomal RNA, 375 nt
Filed under: uncultured bacterium
Lineage: Bacteria
Description: partial 16S ribosomal RNA
Rfam family: Bacterial small subunit ribosomal RNA
Source: RNAcentral